RNAcentral lists this ribosomal RNA (419 nucleotides) under Clostridioides difficile. Its description in RNAcentral is "bacterial SSU rRNA". It matches the Rfam family "Bacterial small subunit ribosomal RNA", at positions 185 to 624 of the family's 1533-position model. Lineage: Bacteria; Bacillati; Bacillota; Clostridia; Peptostreptococcales; Peptostreptococcaceae. The record is from RNAcentral.
GAGGCAUCUCUUAAAUAUCAAAGGUGAGCCAGUACAGGAUGGACCCGCGUCUGAUUAGCUAGUUGGUAAGGUAACGGCUUACCAAGGCGACGAUCAGUAGCCGACCUGAGAGGGUGAUCGGCCACAUGGGAACUGAGACACGGUCCAAACUCCUACGGGAGGCAGCAGUGGGGAAUAUUGCACAAUGGGCGAAAGCCUGAUGCAGCCACGCCGCGUGAGUGAUGAAGGCCUUCGGGUCGUAAAACUCUGUCCUCAAGGAAGAUAAUGACGGUACUUGAGGAGGAAGCCCCGGCUAACUACGUGCCAGCAGCCGCGGUAAUACGUAGGGGGCUAGCGUUAUCCGGAUUUACUGGGCGUAAAGGGUGCGUAGGCGGUCUUUCAAGUCAGGAGUGAAAGGCUACGGCUCAACCGUAGUAAGC